UACGUAGGGGGCAAGCGUUGUCCGGAUUUAUUGGGCGUAAAGAGCUCGUAGGCGGUUUGGUAAGUCCGCUCUGAAAGCCCGGGGCUCAACCCCGGGAGGCGGGUGGAUACUGUCAAGCUUGAGUCUGGAAGAGGCGAGUGGAAUUCCCGGUGUAGCGGUGAAAUGCGCAGAUAUCGGGAGGAACACCAAUGGCGAAGGCAGCUCGCUGGGACAUGACUGACGCUGAGACACGAAAGCGUGGGGAGCAAACAGG
This 253-nucleotide ribosomal RNA is filed under the name uncultured bacterium. RNAcentral's name for it is "partial 16S ribosomal RNA". It matches the Rfam family "Bacterial small subunit ribosomal RNA", at positions 524 to 776 of the family's 1533-position model. The record is from RNAcentral.